UGUGGUUGUGGGUAAAAGACCAGUUCGGAUUGUGCUGGCGUGGCGCUGCGGAUUAUGCAGCUGCUGCAUGGAUGGUUGUGAGAUGCGGUUUGGGGGAAAUCUGUCUGGGAGCGGGUGGUUAGCGGAACUGAGGAUGUAGCGGCAAUUACCCGGCGGCCCGGUCAGUUACGGAGGCCGGUUCAUGAUGUCAUCGGGCCCGGACAUCGCUCACACCGGCAGCUCGGGCUGACCACUCAAAGGUUACCGCUAAAGUAACCGCCACGUGCUGCUUUACGAGUACUAUUCGCCACUCAUCCCUUUUUACUCUAAGUGCCGUGUACCACACUACCACUAUACCAGUAUCUCUCGUUUGGUCACCGAAGUCGGGAAGAUGAUACAACAGGAAACAGGCGAGGUACGGGCGACGGAGUUCCUGCGCCAACGGAUCAGCAUCGACAUCCAACGCGGGAACGCGGCCUCGGUCAUGGGAACAGCACCAGCAUCGGCUAACUUAGACGAAAUGUUCUGCGUGAUUAGGCCGCCCAUUUCUGUAAUCGGCUGAGCUGUGUAUUCAGUACAAAUCUUUCACUUUUAUAAAAAAUCUGCGACAAAUACUCGUGUACCUUGAGUUCUGAAAUAAAUCACGCUGCAAGUA
This is a long non-coding RNA of Paramacrobiotus metropolitanus, 634 nucleotides long. RefSeq lists it as uncharacterized. NCBI's taxonomy places the organism in Eukaryota, Metazoa, Tardigrada, Eutardigrada, Parachela, Macrobiotidae. The transcript has 2 exons. The record is from RefSeq and is a predicted model, not a curated record.